CGAAGUGAUCGCGGACCUUUGUGUCUAGACUGUGAUGACAUAGAAAACAUGGCCCUCUGCAAAAACAUAGCCACUUGCGCCAAGGACGAAAUUUGCACCAUCUACGGAAGUCCUUUUACACACUAUGACGGAAAAUGCGUGAGCAAGAACUUCCAGUGCCCGGGCGUGGCAUCCGCUGGUGGAUUCUGCCAGUCAUGUUGUGACCAGGAUAUGUGUAACACUAACUGCACCAGACCAGCCGAGGUCUCCAUUGUUGGAUAACAUUUGAUGGUCCACUUUCGCAAGGGAUUUUAGCACCAAGGAGAAUCUUACCAUGACAUACAUGGCCCAUGCCUACU
This is a long non-coding RNA of Mya arenaria, 338 nucleotides long. RefSeq lists it as uncharacterized. The transcript has 3 exons. The record is from RefSeq and is a predicted model, not a curated record. Lineage: Eukaryota; Metazoa; Mollusca; Bivalvia; Myida; Myidae.